GAUACUUACAACUGCAGCGAUGAUUACUUCUGUAUGCAAACGAUUCUUUUCGUACUUGCUAACUCUUUGCUCAUCCAAAUACCCUUCUCUUCUCCUCUCCUAAUGUGAUCUUAAUUUUUCUCCCUCUUACUCAAUGUUUACCAAAUACCGAUUCACUCCGAAACCUAGCGCUCCCACCAAACACCUCACUAUAAUGAUGGUUCA
Molecule: non-coding RNA, 204 nt
Organism: Schizosaccharomyces pombe (fission yeast)
Lineage: Eukaryota; Fungi; Ascomycota; Schizosaccharomycetes; Schizosaccharomycetales; Schizosaccharomycetaceae
Source: the annotation of a GenBank genome assembly